Molecule: ribosomal RNA, 612 nt
Filed under: uncultured archaeon
Lineage: Archaea
Description: bacterial SSU rRNA
Rfam family: Archaeal small subunit ribosomal RNA
Source: RNAcentral
GCCCUUGUUGAUCCUGCCGGAGGCCACUGCUAUCGGGGUCCGACUAAGCCAUGCGAGUCAUGGGGCUCCCUUCGGGGAGCACCGGCGCACGGCUCAGUAACACGUGGCUAACCUACCCUCGGGUGGGGGAUAACCUCGGGAAACUGAGGCUAAUCCCCCAUAGGGGAGGAGGUCUGGAAUGAUCCCUCCCCGAAAGGCGUAAGCCGCCCGAGGAUGGGGCUGCGGCGGAUUAGGUAGUUGGUGGGGUAACGGCCCACCAAGCCUACGAUCCGUACGGGCCCUGAGAGGGGGAGCCCGGAGAUGGACACUGAGACACGGGUCCAGGCCCUACGGGGCGCAGCAGGCGCGAAACCUCCGCAAUGCGCGAAAGCGCGACGGGGGGACCCCGAGUGCCCACGCUCUGCGUGGGCUUUUCCGGAGUGUAAACAGCUCCGGGAAUAAGGGCUGGGCAAGUCCGGUGCCAGCAGCCGCGGUAAUACCGGCGGCCCAAGUGGUGGCCACUGAUAUUGGGCCUAAAGCGUCCGUAGCCGGCCCGGUAAGUCUCUGCUUAAAUCCUGCGGCUCAACCGCAGGGCUGGCAGAGAUACUGCCGGGCUUGGGACCGGGAGAGGCC